RNAcentral lists this ribosomal RNA (2661 nucleotides) under Escherichia coli. RNAcentral's name for it is "partial 23S ribosomal RNA". It matches the Rfam family "Bacterial large subunit ribosomal RNA". The record is from RNAcentral. Lineage: Bacteria; Pseudomonadati; Pseudomonadota; Gammaproteobacteria; Enterobacterales; Enterobacteriaceae.
UGGGGAAACCCAGUGUGUUUCGACACACUAUCAUUAACUGAAUCCAUAGGUUAAUGAGGCGAACCGGGGGAACUGAAACAUCUAAGUACCCCGAGGAAAAGAAAUCAACCGAGAUUCCCCCAGUAGCGGCGAGCGAACGGGGAGGAGCCCAGAGCCUGAAUCAGUGUGUGUGUUAGUGGAAGCGUCUGGAAAGGCGUGCGAUACAGGGUGACAGCCCCGUACACAAAAAUGCACAUAUUGUGAGCUCGAUGAGUAGGGCGGGACACGUGGUAUCCUGUCUGAAUAUGGGGGGACCAUCCUCCAAGGCUAAAUACUCCUGACUGACCGAUAGUGAACCAGUACCGUGAGGGAAAGGCGAAAAGAACCCCGGCGAGGGGAGUGAAAAAGAACCUGAAACCGUGUACGUACAAGCAGUGGGAGCCUCUUAAUGGGGUGACUGCGUACCUUUUGUAUAAUGGGUCAGCGACUUAUAUUCUGUAGCAAGGUUAACCGAAUAGGGGAGCCGAAGGGAAACCGAGUCUUAACUGGGCGUUAAGUUGCAGGGUAUAGACCCGAAACCCGGUGAUCUAGCCAUGGGCAGGUUGAAGGUUGGGUAACACUAACUGGAGGACCGAACCGACUAAUGUUGAAAAAUUAGCGGAUGACUUGUGGCUGGGGGUGAAAGGCCAAUCAAACCGGGAGAUAGCUGGUUCUCCCCGAAAGCUAUUUAGGUAGCGCCUCGUGAAUUCAUCUCCGGGGGUAGAGCACUGUUUCGGCAAGGGGGUCAUCCCGACUUACCAACCCGAUGCAAACUGCGAAUACCGGAGAAUGUUAUCACGGGAGACACACGGCGGGUGCUAACGUCCGUCGUGAAGAGGGAAACAACCCAGACCGCCAGCUAAGGUCCCAAAGUCAUGGUUAAGUGGGAAACGAUGUGGGAAGGCCCAGACAGCCAGGAUGUUGGCUUAGAAGCAGCCAUCAUUUAAAGAAAGCGUAAUAGCUCACUGGUCGAGUCGGCCUGCGCGGAAGAUGUAACGGGGCUAAACCAUGCACCGAAGCUGCGGCAGCGACACUAUGUGUUGUUGGGUAGGGGAGCGUUCUGUAAGCCUGUGAAGGUGGCCUGUGAGGGUUGCUGGAGGUAUCAGAAGUGCGAAUGCUGACAUAAGUAACGAUAAAGCGGGUGAAAAGCCCGCUCGCCGGAAGACCAAGGGUUCCUGUCCAACGUUAAUCGGGGCAGGGUGAGUCGACCCCUAAGGCGAGGCCGAAAGGCGUAGUCGAUGGGAAACAGGUUAAUAUUCCUGUACUUGGUGUUACUGCGAAGGGGGGACGGAGAAGGCUAUGUUGGCCGGGCGACGGUUGUCCCGGUUUAAGCGUGUAGGCUGGUUUUCCAGGCAAAUCCGGAAAACCAAGGCUGAGGCGUGAUGACGAGGCACUACGGUGCUGAAGCGACAAAUGCCCUGCUUCCAGGAAAAGCCUCUAAGCAUCAGGUAACAUCAAAUCGUACCCCAAACCGACACAGGUGGUCAGGUAGAGAAUACCAAGGCGCUUGAGAGAACUCGGGUGAAGGAACUAGGCAAAAUGGUGCCGUAACUUCGGGAGAAGGCACGCUGAUAUGUAGGUGAAGCGACUUGCUCGUGGAGCUGAAAUCAGUCGAAGAUACCAGCUGGCUGCAACUGUUUAUUAAAAACACAGCACUGUGCAAACACGAAAGUGGACGUAUACGGUGUGACGCCUGCCCGGUGCCGGAAGGUUAAUUGAUGGGGUUAGCGGUAACGCGAAGCUCUUGAUCGAAGCCCCGGUAAACGGCGGCCGUAACUAUAACGGUCCUAAGGUAGCGAAAUUCCUUGUCGGGUAAGUUCCGACCUGCACGAAUGGCGUAAUGAUGGCCAGGCUGUCUCCACCCGAGACUCAGUGAAAUUGAACUCGCUGUGAAGAUGCAGUGUACCCGCGGCAAGACGGAAAGACCCCGUGAACCUUUACUAUAGCUUGACACUGAACAUUGAGCCUUGAUGUGUAGGAUAGGUGGGAGGCUUUGAAGUGUGGACGCCAGUCUGCAUGGAGCCGACCUUGAAAUACCACCCUUUAAUGUUUGAUGUUCUAACGUUGGCCCGUAAUCCGGGUUGCGGACAGUGUCUGGUGGGUAGUUUGACUGGGGCGGUCUCCUCCUAAAGAGUAACGGAGGAGCACGAAGGUUGGCUAAUCCUGGUCGGACAUCAGGAGGUUAGUGCAAUGGCAUAAGCCAGCUUGACUGCGAGCGUGACGGCGCGAGCAGGUGCGAAAGCAGGUCAUAGUGAUCCGGUGGUUCUGAAUGGAAGGGCCAUCGCUCAACGGAUAAAAGGUACUCCGGGGAUAACAGGCUGAUACCGCCCAAGAGUUCAUAUCGACGGCGGUGUUUGGCACCUCGAUGUCGGCUCAUCACAUCCUGGGGCUGAAGUAGGUCCCAAGGGUAUGGCUGUUCGCCAUUUAAAGUGGUACGCGAGCUGGGUUUAGAACGUCGUGAGACAGUUCGGUCCCUAUCUGCCGUGGGCGCUGGAGAACUGAGGGGGGCUGCUCCUAGUACGAGAGGACCGGAGUGGACGCAUCACUGGUGUUCGGGUUGUCAUGCCAAUGGCACUGCCCGGUAGCUAAAUGCGGAAGAGAUAAGUGCUGAAAGCAUCUAAGCACGAAACUUGCCCCGAGAUG